Long non-coding RNA from Drosophila miranda, 957 nucleotides. RefSeq lists it as uncharacterized. The record is from RefSeq and is a predicted model, not a curated record. NCBI's taxonomy places the organism in Eukaryota, Metazoa, Arthropoda, Insecta, Diptera, Drosophilidae. The transcript is spliced from 2 exons.
UCCUGUCAACGAUGAAAUAGGUUAGACCUGGUUAGUCGUCAGGUGAUGUAGCAGCCCAGGCAGCACAGAUCACAGAACACAGAAAUCCACAAAGGAAUCUUAAUAUCUAGGUACAUAUUUACUAAUACUACACACACUUUUGCGGAUGUAAUCAUACAUAUAUCAUAUUUGAUGUUUAAAGCGCAAUCAAUUGAAAUCACUAGAGAUACGAGACUCGAGAUCUGCUCUGUUUCCGAAUAACAAGACUAUGCUCCUAGAACCGUGAGGACUGGCCGAUUGCGCGUGGGAUGCGGCUGGAUUCCCUGCUGUGUUCUGCUCCAGCAAAGGUAGAUGGACGCCACAACACACAACACAUACACAGAUGGCCGAUGCCGAUGACGCUGAUAGUGGUUGAUGACGUGCUUGAUAGCGCCCAGCAUGUGCGCACUACAAGUUAAGUUACCGUUAGUAAUUAGCAAGCGGCCUUACCCAUGUCCACACACACUUGCACACAAAAACACACACACAGAGAGGCGCUUACAUUGUGUUUUAGCAGCGUCCGACGCCUAAGAUAAGAAUAGUAGUAGUACAUCCCAAAUGCCUCAAAGUGAGCCGCUAACAGCAUGUCCACAUUGAUUUACUUUCUGUGCAUAUUAAUAUUAAUUAAUCAUUAUUCAAUUAUAAAGUGCACAUGUCUCACCCACAUCGGAAAAUGUAUCCAUAUGAAAAUACCUUCUGUAAAUCCUCUUUCAAAUUUCGCGCAAGCUACAAUUAUGGCGAAAUUGCGCAGCAAAAAAUGGUGGCCGUCGACCCGCGUGGGUUAGUAAUAAGUAAAUAUGCCAAUAUUUCUGCAAAAUGCAUACGUAUAAUGUAUUCUCCAACAGACCAUAUGCACACUUAUGUAUUUGCAACAAUUGGUUGCAGAUUUGAGUAGUAGUUUCACCUAUUACUUCCAAUUGUUUAAGAUCACCGUCAAAA